This 255-nucleotide ribosomal RNA is filed under the name uncultured bacterium. RNAcentral's name for it is "partial 16S ribosomal RNA". It matches the Rfam family "Bacterial small subunit ribosomal RNA", at positions 524 to 776 of the family's 1533-position model. The record is from RNAcentral.
UACGUAGGGUGCGAGCGUUAAUCGGAAUUACUGGGCGUAAAGCGUGCGCAGGCGGUUUUGUAAGUCAGAUGUGAAAUCCCCGGGCUCAACCUGGGAACUGCAUUUGUGACUGCACGGCUAGAGUGCGGCAGAGGGGGAUGGAAUUCCGCGUGUAGCAGUGAAAUGCGUAGAUAUGCGGAGGAACACCGAUGGCGAAGGCAAUCCCCUGGGCCUGCACUGACGCUCAUGCACGAAAAGCGUGGGGGAGCAAACAGG